UUUGCCAAAAAUGCAUUAAAAAGGUCCUGAUCAAACUUCGAAGUGAGCCCUGCUUGGAACAAAAGACUGGAUUAGGUGACCUCUGUGAUCAGGUUGUGUGUAUCAUAAAUACGUAGCACUGAACUGCUUGGCCUUCUCUAUAGCUUUUAAUGCAAAACACCUAGUAAAAUGAUCAGAGUAAUAGCUAAAUGGUAGAGAAGGAUUCAACAAGUGUUGGAAGACUAGUAGCGGUAAUCUAUGCCAUCCACUUCUGCAUUAUAUAGAGACAGGUAAAACAAUACCUAGUGCUCCACCAGGCUCUCGGCUAGAAGAUCAACUGUCCGGAGUGGGACAAAAAUGCUAUUUCACUUACAAGAAGAGGAAAUGUUUAGUAACACUCUCUCCUUUAUCCUUUUCCCUCAACACCUUUUAACUGAAUCAAGUAUAAACUCUAUAAAUCAAUGGGAUUAAUUUAUAUCUUAAAUCUCUUUAGGACAAGCACUCAGAAGACAGAUAGGGGCCUGAUUCUGCAACUACUUAUAUCGGGUAACCCAAGCAGUUUUGGGCUCAAGAAUAAAAAUCCUCAAACACUGAUAAGAGAGGAUGAGAGGACUUCCUUGAUCUGCAAAGAAGCUAUGUCCAAUAGUGCUUCAAGUCAGAGACAUUUCUAAGACGUGCUUUGACAGCAGACACUUAAAAUGAUACAGAAAUAGAUCAGCUUUAUUUGAGGAAGGCUGAGAACUGCAAAGAAUCUUCUCAAGGACUGUCAGCUGGAGCCAAACGGUACUACAAAAAGAGAGGUGAAAUAUUCUCUAAUUUUAUUUACAUUUAUACUCUUUAUACUUUUUUCUGCUUUUUGCAGGGAAAGGGGUGUAUAGCUCCUAAUUUCUUUCUAUUAAUUGUAUUCUCUAUUGUUCCAUUCAUUCAUUUCUUAACCCUCUCUUUCCUCUGCUUCUUGUGUUUCUCUCCCUCCACACAUUUCCCUUAAGGGGUUUUUGUUCUUUUCUAUCCUUGUCUCUUGUCUGGGUAGCCUUCUCAUUUCCAUUAUUUCUGCUUUGUUUCCUUAAGAUUUCAUCUGUUCUUUUGCCCUUUCUCUUUCCACUUUUGACUCUACAGAAAGCCAGAUGUUCCUUGCUGACUUCUGAAACUACCUCUGCAUAUUUUUUUCUCAGGAAAUGUACUCUUGAAUGAAGCCUUUAACCUAAAGCUUAAGACAAAAUUGAUUGGUUUCUGUCUUACAUAAUAACAAAAGACCAUAAAUAGUGGACUGAACACAGGAACAGUAUUCACCAGGGAAGGGUAGUCAGAACUAACCCAACCUCUUUGACUUCCUCAGAAACACAGAAUUGCAAACUUCCAGGAACAUUACUGAAACAAAAGAGAUAGAGUCUAAAAUCCAUUGCUUCAGUGUUUGCAUUUCAGAGACAAGACUCUUGCUGAAAUCAGUCUCAUCUUUGGGAAGUGCUAAUGCAAAACCUUAUACUGGCUUAAACUGGUAUAUUCUGGCUGGAUAGAACUAAUAUGCUGGUGUUGUAAGAAAUCUCAUUGUUUUAGCAAAAACUUUAAAAGAAGAAAAAAAAUGACCUUUUUGUGCAAUUAACGCAUCACUUUUCCAAGGAAUUUAUUAGGCUGACUUCCAUCCCUUGUAAGAAAACUAGCAAAAGAGCUCUCAAGAUGGAAGAUUAUUUUUCAUUAGCUUUCAUUCCUCUAAUAUUUGAGGCUAUUGAUUACUUUUUUAAUAAAAAAAGAAC
This is a long non-coding RNA of Dromaius novaehollandiae (emu), 1730 nucleotides long. Lineage: Eukaryota; Metazoa; Chordata; Aves; Casuariiformes; Dromaiidae. The record is from Ensembl.